GACGAACGCUGGCGGCGUGCUUAACACAUGCAAGUCGAACGGAAAGGCCUCUUUCGGGGGGUACUCGAGUGGCGAACGGGUGAGUAACACGUGAGUAACCUGCCCUUGACUUUGGGAUAACUUCAGGAAACUGGGGCUAAUACCGGAUAGGAGCUCCUGCUGCAUGGUGGGGGCUGGAAAGUUUCGGCGGUUGGGGAUGGACUCGCGGCUUAUCAGCUUGUUGGUGGGGUAGUGGCUUACCAAGGCUUUGACGGGUAGCCGGCCUGAGAGGGUGACCGGCCACAUUGGGACUGAGAUACGGCCCAGACUCCUACGGGAGGCAGCAGUGGGGAAUAUUGCACAAUGGGUGGAAGCCUGAUGCAGCAACGCCGGGUGCGGGAUGACGGCCUUCGGGUUGUAAACCGCUUUCGCUCAUGACGAAGCUUUGUGUGACGGUAGUGGGUAAAGAAGCACCGGCUAACUACGUG
This 467-nucleotide ribosomal RNA is filed under the name uncultured bacterium. RNAcentral describes it as "partial 16S ribosomal RNA". It matches the Rfam family "Bacterial small subunit ribosomal RNA", at positions 28 to 507 of the family's 1533-position model. The record is from RNAcentral.